This 487-nucleotide ribosomal RNA is filed under the name uncultured bacterium. RNAcentral describes it as "partial 16S ribosomal RNA". It matches the Rfam family "Bacterial small subunit ribosomal RNA", at positions 899 to 1397 of the family's 1533-position model. The record is from RNAcentral.
ACUCAAAGGAAUUGACGGGGGCCCGCACAAGCAGCGGAGCGUGUGGUUUAAUUCGAUGAUACGCGAAGAACCUCACCCAGGUUUGACAUGCAUGUGGUACCAAUGUGAAAGCUGAGGGACCCUUCGGGGAGCAUGCACAGGUGUUGCACGGCCGUCGUCAGCUCGUGCCGUGAGGUGUUGGGUUAAGUCCCGCAACGAGCGCAACCCCUGUCGCCAGUUGUACUUUUCUGGCGAGACUGCCGAGAAAACCUCGGAGGAAGGAGGGGACGAUGUCAGGUCAGCGUGGCCCUUACGCCUGGGGCUACACACACGCUACAAUGGGCAGUACAACGGGUCGCGAAGCCGCGAGGCGAAGCUAAUCCCAUCAAAGCUGUCCUCAGUUCGGAUUGCAGGCUGAAACCCGCCUGCAUGAAGCCGGAGUUGCUAGUAACCGCAGGUCAGCAUUACUGCGGUGAAUACGUUCCCGGGCCUUGUACACACCGCCCGU